This 1657-nucleotide ribosomal RNA is filed under the name human gut metagenome. RNAcentral's name for it is "bacterial LSU rRNA". It matches the Rfam family "Bacterial large subunit ribosomal RNA", at positions 1394 to 2925 of the family's 2925-position model. The record is from RNAcentral.
AGGCGAGGCCGACAGGCGUAGUCGAAUGGAUGAACGGGUGGAUAUUCCCGUACCGACCAUGGACCGGCAAAACCGAGACGGUGAGUACUAACCUCCGCCUCGUGGUGGUUCCUUCCUUCGGGUUGGUCCCGCCGCGUGGUGUUGGGAGCGUAGCCGCAGUAGGUCAGCGCAGGGGUGACACGGAAUGGGAGCCGGCCGCGGAGGUGGUUUUCCGUGGUCAAGCACGCAGCCAGUCAUGUAGGCAAAUCCGCAUGGCGCGCAUGGCGAGGUGUGAUGAUGGGAGCCGUUAUGGCUCGAUAUCCGGUUGUCCAGGCCGUCGAGAAAAGCCUCGGCGUGAGGGCCAUGGCCGCCCGUACCCCAAACCGACACUGGUGGUCAGGUAGAGAAUACCAAGGCGAUCGAGCGAAUCCUGGUCAAGGAACUCGGCAAAUCACUCCCGUGCCUUCGGUAUAAGGGAGACCCGCUGGGGUGAACCGGCUAGCCCGGGGAGCUUUGGUGGGUGGCACAGACCAGGGGGUAGCGACUGUUUACCAAAAACACAGGUGCAUGCGAAGGCGAAAGCCGCUGUAUAUGCACUGACGCCUGCCCGGUGCCGGAAGGUUAAGAGGAUCCGUCAAUCCCUUCGGGGACGAAGCGGUGAAUUCAAGCCCCGGUAAACGGCGGUGGUAACUAUAACCAUCCUAAGGUAGCGAAAUUCCUUGUCGGGUAAGUUCCGACCUGCACGAAUGGCGUAACGACUUCCCCACUGUCUCGACCAGGAGCUCGGCGAAAUUGCAGUACGAGUAAAGAUGCUCGUUAAGCGCAGAAGGACGAAAAGACCCCGGGACCUUUACUAUACCUUGGUAUUGGCGUUAGGCGCGGAUUGUGUAGCAUAGGCGGGAGGCUUCGAAGCGUGGGCGCCAGCUCAUGUGGAGCCGCAAGGUGAAAUACCGCUCUGUUCUCGUUUGACGUCUAACCUCGACAAGUCAUCCUUGUCAGGGACAGUGCCUGGCGGGUAGUUCAACUGGGGCGGUUGCCUCCCAAAGAGUAACGGAGGCGCUCAAAGGUCCGCUCAGCCCGGUUGGCAAUCGGGUGUCGAGUGUAAUCGCACAAGCGGGCUUGACUGCGAGGACGACGGUCCGAGCAGGGACGAAAGUCGGAGAUAGUGAUCCGGUGCCGGCGCACGGGCGCGGCAUCGCUCAACGGAUAAAAGGUACCCCGGGGAUAACAGGCUGAUCAUUCCCAAGAGUCCAUAUCGACGGGAUGGUUUGGCACCUCGAUGUCGGCUCGUCGCAUCCUGGGGCUGGAGCAGGUCCCAAGGGUUCGGCUGUUCGCCGAUUAAAGCGGCACGCGAGCUGGGUUCAGAACGUCGUGAGACAGUUUGGUCUCUAUCCUCUGCGCUCGUUGGAAUCCUGAGGAGGCCUGCCCAUAGUACGAGAGGACCUGGGUGGACGAACCUCUGGUAUGCCGGUUGUCGCGCCAGCGGCACGGCCGGUUGGCUACGUUCGGGAGGGAUAACCGCUGAAAGCAUCUAAGCGGGAAGCCUGCUCCAAGAUUAGGAUUCCAUGGAUCUUCGAGAUCCUGUAGCCCGCAUGUUGAACACGUGUUUGAUAGGCCGGAGGUGGAAGCCCCGUGAGGGGUGGAGCCGACCGGUACUAACGGGCGACGGCGACACAAC